UACCUGAUGAGCACCGAGG
This 19-nucleotide unclassified non-coding RNA is filed under the name Chlamydomonas reinhardtii. Its description in RNAcentral is "small RNA Cre_2206". Lineage: Eukaryota; Viridiplantae; Chlorophyta; Chlorophyceae; Chlamydomonadales; Chlamydomonadaceae. The record is from RNAcentral.